Molecule: ribosomal RNA, 373 nt
Filed under: uncultured bacterium
Lineage: Bacteria
Description: bacterial SSU rRNA
Rfam family: Bacterial small subunit ribosomal RNA
Source: RNAcentral
ACAGAGGGUGCGAGCGUUAAUCGGAAUUACUGGGCGUAAAGGGUGCGUAGGUGGUUUUGUAAGUUAGAUGUGAAAUUCCUGGGCUUAACCUGGGGACUGCGUCUGAUACUGCGAAGCUAGAGUACUGUAGAGGGAAGUGGAAUUUCCGGUGUAGCAGUGAAAUGCGUAGAUAUCGGAAGGAACAUCAGUGGCGAAGGCGACUUCCUGGACAGAUACUGACACUGAGGCACGAAAGCGUGGGGAGCAAACAGGAUUAGAUACCCUGGUAGUCCAUGCUGUAAACGAUGAAGACUGGCUGUUGGGUGCCCUUGGGCACUUAGUAGCGAAGCUAACGCGUUAAGUCUUCCGCCUGGGGAGUACGGCCGCAAGGUUA